GACUUGUGUGUGUUGCUGUUCAGCGGUCUGCAUUCAAAAGAGUGUUACGACAUGCGGCAGUGGCGCCGUAAAAUCUUCAACUGGAUCGCAACUGGACUUAAUUGCCUGGUUGCAGUCAUUCGGUUGAUCGUUUACUGUGAGAAAAUUAGAGUGUUCAAGGCAGGCAUUAUUGCAAUUGAAUAUGUUAGCAUGGAAUAAUAAGAUAAGGCUUUCGCGUUUAUUUUGUUGGUUUCUAGAUCGGAAGUAAUGAUUGAAAGGGAUAGUUGGGGGUGCUAGUAUUCAGUGGUCAGCGGUGAAAUGCGAGGACCCAUUGAAGACUAACUUAUGCGAAAGCAUU
RNAcentral lists this ribosomal RNA (337 nucleotides) under uncultured Spongospora. RNAcentral describes it as "SSU rRNA". It matches the Rfam family "Eukaryotic small subunit ribosomal RNA", at positions 611 to 955 of the family's 1831-position model. Lineage: Eukaryota; Endomyxa; Phytomyxea; Plasmodiophorida; Plasmodiophoridae. The record is from RNAcentral.